CGCACCUUGCACCUUUUCGGUAUUCCGAAAGGGUAUGCCCGGUUGAGUAUUAUGAACAUCUCAAUCCCUCUGGCUUCUGAUCGUAAAGGUUGUCGCCGAGUUUGGACGAAGUCGUCUGUCGGGACGACGGUAGCUGAAGUACGACUUGGAGGCCUGUUGGACUUGGACUUGAGCGACACGUCGGUCCUCUGGGAUACGUACCCGCUUGAAAUGUAUUAGCUGGCGACCCGCCUUACGGUUCCACUCGGCGUAGUAAGUUCUAUUCGUCGAGGACGCCUCUUUCGAGGUGGCCGAAAGUGUAGGUUUGAAGCCGCUUCCAGUCGUCUUUGGACGCUUUGAAUCUUUAAUCUCAACUCGGGUAGGACUACCCGCUGAACUUAA
This 381-nucleotide ribosomal RNA is filed under the name uncultured Tulasnellaceae. RNAcentral describes it as "eukaryotic LSU rRNA". Lineage: Eukaryota; Fungi; Basidiomycota; Agaricomycetes; Cantharellales; Tulasnellaceae. The record is from RNAcentral.